AAUCAACGCUGGCGGCGUGCCUCAGACAUGCAAGUCGAACGAGAACCUCCCUUCGGGGAGGGGACAGUGGCGCACGGGUGAGUAACACGUGGGUAAUUUACCUUUGGGUGGGGAACAACAGCCGGAAACGGCUGCUAAUACCGCAUAAUGCAGCGGCUCGACAUCGAGACAGUUGUUAAAGCGGGGGAUCGCAAGACCUCGCGCCUGAAGAGAAGCCUGCGGCGGAUUAGCAGUUGGUAGGGUAAUGGCCUACCAAGGCGACGAUCUGUAACCGGCCUGAGAGGGCGGUCGGUCACACUGACACUGACAUACGGGUCAGACUCCUACGGGAGGCAGCAGUCGGGUAAUUUUGGGCAAGUGGGCGAAAGCCUGACCCAGCAACGCCGCGUGAAGGA
RNAcentral lists this ribosomal RNA (395 nucleotides) under uncultured bacterium. Its description in RNAcentral is "bacterial SSU rRNA". It matches the Rfam family "Bacterial small subunit ribosomal RNA", at positions 32 to 408 of the family's 1533-position model. The record is from RNAcentral.